This 492-nucleotide ribosomal RNA is filed under the name uncultured bacterium. RNAcentral describes it as "partial 16S ribosomal RNA". It matches the Rfam family "Bacterial small subunit ribosomal RNA", at positions 29 to 507 of the family's 1533-position model. The record is from RNAcentral.
AGUGAACGCUGGCGGUAGGCCUAACACAUGCAAGUCGAACGGCAGCACAGUAAGAGCUUGCUCUUACGGGUGGCGAGUGGCGGACGGGUGAGGAAUACAUCGGAAUCUACUUUUUCGUGGGGGAUAACGUAGGGAAACUUACGCUAAUACCGCAUACGACCUACGGGUGAAAGCAGGGGAUCUUCGGACCUUGCGCGAUUGAAUGAGCCGAUGUCGGAUUAGCUAGUUGGCGGGGUAAAGGCCCACCAAGGCGACGAUCCGUAGCUGGUCUGAGAGGAUGAUCAGCCACACUAGAACUGAGACACGGUCCAGGCUCCUACGGGAGGCAGCAGUGGGGAAUAUUGGACAAUGGGCGCAAGCCUGAUCCAGCCAUACCGCGUGGGUUGAAGAAGCCUUCGGGUUGUAAAGCCCUUUUGUUGGGAAAGAAAAGCAGCAGGUUAAUACCCCGCUGUUCUGACGGUACCCAAAGAAUAAGCACCGGCUAACUUCGUG